ACCAUCCUUUUCUUGAGGUAGUGCUACUGUCCUAUGAACAAGUGGUGAGGGCAGUACUGCUACUGCCUACACAAAAAUUUAAAUACAAGUUUAUAUAAAAUAAACUUUUUAAAAA
RNAcentral lists this non-coding RNA (115 nucleotides) under Prolemur simus (greater bamboo lemur). Its description in RNAcentral is "U4atac minor spliceosomal RNA (ENSPSMG00000010870.1)". It matches the Rfam family "U4atac minor spliceosomal RNA". Rfam says of the family: U4atac is an essential component of the minor U12-type spliceosome complex which is required for removal of the rarer class of eukaryotic introns (AT-AC, U12-type). These interacting stem loops have been shown to be required for in vivo splicing. Lineage: Eukaryota; Metazoa; Chordata; Mammalia; Primates; Lemuridae. The record is from Rfam by way of RNAcentral.